RNAcentral lists this long non-coding RNA (262 nucleotides) under Sus scrofa (pig). Its description in RNAcentral is "lncRNA (ENSSSCG00070009219.1)". Lineage: Eukaryota; Metazoa; Chordata; Mammalia; Artiodactyla; Suidae. The record is from RNAcentral.
GAUUCCUGAGCGUCACGCCCAGUGUCCUGACAGUUCCUCUGUGUGCCUCCAGAUCUCCCCGAGAUAGUGCUGGAUGACGUGCCUGCGGUGAGGGUGGCGGGACGGCCUCCAUUCGCUCCGCGGGUGGCCUUCAUGGUGAACAAAACACAUGACCCCGAGUACCCGAGGCGGAAGGUGUCCGGCAUCAGUGCUCAGAAAGUUGUUCCACCUUCCACCAAGGUAAGGGCUUUUCACUUCUCUGAGGAAAAAGAAAAAGCAAAAA